Molecule: long non-coding RNA, 932 nt
Organism: Onthophagus taurus
Lineage: Eukaryota; Metazoa; Arthropoda; Insecta; Coleoptera; Scarabaeidae
Source: RefSeq, a predicted model, not a curated record
UUUUAUAAAUUGUUAAUAAAGUAUAUACCUACCUAAUGUUUAUCGAAAUACUUUAUCUUUCAAAUGCGUAACUCAAAAAGUAAACAGUUUAUAAUCUGAAACAGGUGCAGCGUGAUCAGUUUGAUAUAAAAAUUCGUCUCGAAACUCUCCAUUUCAUUCAAUCUUUUUACGAAAACGCAAACAUGAAGCCAAAUCCAGGUAUUGCUUGUUUGUUACUUAUCGUUUUUGUAAUCGGUGUUGUCACGAGUGAAGGUUACGUUAUACAACAAGAAAAAAUCUUAGAAAACAGAAUUGUUCCUCAGCCAAGACAUAUUAUAUUCGUGAAUUGUAAUGGUGGUGUUUUUAUCAGAGGACUAUGUCGAAAACGAUUAUUUCUACCCAUUAAUCAUUUGAAUUGAAAUAAAUUUUUCUUUACAAAAUCAUAUUUGUUUAUUUUAGUUUUGAUUACUUUAUGAUUAUUUUCUUGGAAAAAAUGUAAUUUAGUGUACUAAUAUGUUUAAACAAUAUUACAUUCCAAUCUUUAUCAGGUGUCUACCUUUAUCAGACGAUUGUCACAUUUAGUUAGUAUUCGACAAGGUAUAAUAUAAUAUCGAGUGUUAAAAAAAUGUCGUUCUGUAAAGCAAAAGUUUUAGUUUGUUUAUUAAUAGUAUUUUUAUCGAUCGCCGUAAAUAAAACUAAUAGUGAAUGGAUAACCUUUGAUACCUUUUUUAAACAUAAUCCUCCAAUAAACACGGCGAAUAUUAUUCAGGCCACGUGUUUGUCCGGAACUAUUCGAGAUCCCACUGGGAAAUGUAGACCAAUUUAUUAGAAGGUAUUAAUUAUAAUUAAGGAGAAGGCCGUGUUUCGAUAUCUUUAAACGAUUUCAAAUCGAAUCUGAUACAGAUCAGAAUCAUCUCUAACCUCAAAAAGAGGACAUGUAUUUUUAAGACUAU